GCUGUCGUUUGUCAUUCCAGUAAUGAGGUGGAUGAAAUCCAAUUCAGAUUGUAUGUACUUAGUCAAGUCCUAAACUGGGAUUGCAAGCGUUACUUCUUGUAAGGAAGCUGCUGAUGGAGUUUCUCGUGAUCUUUCCCCAUGCAGUGCUUUCUGAAGGCUGGUGCUUGAAUAACAGCUUGGCUCUUCCCUGGUUCUUCAGGAGGAUUUACUGCACUCCCUCCUAAACAGAAGUCAGACAAAGUGAAACCCAGACAGUGAUAAUUAAUGAUAUUUCUUAAGAGAGAAGGAGAACAAAGGAGGCGAAAUGACACAAAGUCCCCUUGCAUGAACCCUUCCAGGAAUGGCUGUGUCACAUGGGUGCUGUGGAGCUGACCUUUGUCUGGACAGCCAGGAAGACCAUGGGAAAUCGUAGCCCCAGUACAGUAGUUGCUUCUGUGAAUCUAAUGGUACUGGUGCCUGGUAAGAACAGAGUUGUGGAAGAGGAGCAGGGAAGGAAAUCUAAGACUACAUGAUUUCAGGUUAGUCAGCUGCCUCUAGGUUAAAAGACUUAAGCAUGUUUUAGUACAAAAUUAAAGCAUCACUUCUUGACUAUUAAUUAGUAGCUGAGUUCUCUUUACCUGUCGUGAUUUUAAUUCAAGCUUCAGAGAUAAGGUUUAUUUGCAUACAUGGUUAUGUUUGCUGUAUCAUAAUUUUCAUACGGUUCUAGGAGUUAUUUAAAAAUUCCUGUAUAAUUCUUCUCCCCUGUGACCGUAUCUUCAAUGCAAACAAUCUUUUGCAAACAGAACCUGCUCUGGAAAGUGUUCCGAGUGUUUGGGAGGAUACUAAUUGAACAUCCCUUCGUGUGAAGAAGUGUAUAUCUCAUUGCACAAGAAGGCCUGCAGAAAUGCAAACUAUUUACUUAACUGUAUACAAUACUGGUAAAUAACACUAGUCCCUAAAAAAUUUCCUGGGCAUGAGUCUUAAGAUGAAAGACAUUUUUUACCUGUUUUUGUAGGGAAACUGUUAGGACUUGUUUCAGUGGCCAGAAUAUGCAUUGUAUUUUUCAGGGUGUUGUGCAUUUCCAAAUCACAGCUUGAACUGCAAUUGGGUAGUAACUUAUUAAGCUUGGUAUUGAUUUUUGGGGGGGAUGGAACAGUUUCUGCAAGUUAAAUCACCUGUCAACUUUAUUAAUGCUAAUGCUGUUUUGGUGAUACUGUGAGAGUAUAAUUAUGUCCGUAUCCAAACAUUUCCACCUUUUCAUGUUCUUGCUUUUGUUUUCAGUUUGUCAUAUAAUUCCAUUGCAUUGAGUAAAACUGUUUUUUAUCAGGGAUUCUGAGUGCAUAUUUUCCUUUGUUUUUGACCUCAGGACUGCAGGGUGUCACUGGGGAUGAUGACUGGUAAUGAACGGAAG
Molecule: long non-coding RNA, 1390 nt
Filed under: Numida meleagris (helmeted guineafowl)
Lineage: Eukaryota; Metazoa; Chordata; Aves; Galliformes; Numididae
Description: lncRNA (ENSNMEG00000016940.1)
Source: RNAcentral